Molecule: ribosomal RNA, 403 nt
Filed under: uncultured bacterium
Lineage: Bacteria
Description: partial 16S ribosomal RNA
Rfam family: Bacterial small subunit ribosomal RNA
Source: RNAcentral
AUUGAACGCUGGCGGCAGGCCUAACACAUGCAAGUCGAGCGAGCGGCGGACGGGUGAGUAAUGUAUGGGGACUGCCCGAUAGAGGGGGAUAACUACUGGAAACGGUGGCUAAUACCGCAUACUAUCGGAUAACCCAUAUGGGAUUAGCUAGUAGGGGGGGUAAAGGCUCACCUAGGCGACGAUCUCUAGCUGGUCUGAGAGGAUGAUCGGCCACACGGGGAUUGGGAAACGGCCCAGACUCCUACGGGGGCAGCGGUGGGGAAGAUUGCACAAUGGGGGAAGGCCUGAGGCAGCCAUGCCGCGUGUAUGAGGAAGGCCUUAGGGUUGUAAAGUACUUUCAGCGGGGAGGCGUUACCCGCAGAAGAAGCACCGGCUAACUCCGUGCCAGCAGCCGCGGUAAUAC